This 2903-nucleotide ribosomal RNA is filed under the name Escherichia coli. RNAcentral describes it as "23S ribosomal RNA". It matches the Rfam family "Bacterial large subunit ribosomal RNA". The record is from RNAcentral. Lineage: Bacteria; Pseudomonadati; Pseudomonadota; Gammaproteobacteria; Enterobacterales; Enterobacteriaceae.
UUAAGCGACUAAGCGUACACGGUGGAUGCCCUGGCAGUCAGAGGCGAUGAAGGACGUGCUAAUCUGCGAUAAGCGUCGGUAAGGUGAUAUGAACCGUUAUAACCGGCGAUUUCCGAAUGGGGAAACCCAGUGUGAUUCGUCACACUAUCAUUAACUGAAUCCAUAGGUUAAUGAGGCGAACCGGGGGAACUGAAACAUCUAAGUACCCCGAGGAAAAGAAAUCAACCGAGAUUCCCCCAGUAGCGGCGAGCGAACGGGGAGCAGCCCAGAGCCUGAAUCAGUGUGUGUGUUAGUGGAAGCGUCUGGAAAGGCGCGCGAUACAGGGUGACAGCCCCGUACACAAAAAUGCACAUGCUGUGAGCUCGAUGAGUAGGGCGGGACACGUGGUAUCCUGUCUGAAUAUGGGGGGACCAUCCUCCAAGGCUAAAUACUCCUGACUGACCGAUAGUGAACCAGUACCGUGAGGGAAAGGCGAAAAGAACCCCGGCGAGGGGAGUGAAAAAGAACCUGAAACCGUGUACGUACAAGCAGUGGGAGCACAGAGCAAUCUGUGUGACUGCGUACCUUUUGUAUAAUGGGUCAGCGACUUAUAUUCUGUAGCAAGGUUAACCGAAUAGGGGAGCCGAAGGGAAACCGAGUCUUAACUGGGCGUUAAGUUGCAGGGUAUAGACCCGAAACCCGGUGAUCUAGCCAUGGGCAGGUUGAAGGUUGGGUAACACUAACUGGAGGACCGAACCGACUAAUGUUGAAAAAUUAGCGGAUGACUUGUGGCUGGGGGUGAAAGGCCAAUCAAACCGGGAGAUAGCUGGUUCUCCCCGAAAGCUAUUUAGGUAGCGCCUCGUGAAUUCAUCUCCGGGGGUAGAGCACUGUUUCGGCAAGGGGGUCAUCCCGACUUACCAACCCGAUGCAAACUGCGAAUACCGGAGAAUGUUAUCACGGGAGACACACGGCGGGUGCUAACGUCCGUCGUGAAGAGGGAAACAACCCAGACCGCCAGCUAAGGUCCCAAAGUCAUGGUUAAGUGGGAAACGAUGUGGGAAGGCCCAGACAGCCAGGAUGUUGGCUUAGAAGCAGCCAUCAUUUAAAGAAAGCGUAAUAGCUCACUGGUCGAGUCGGCCUGCGCGGAAGAUGUAACGGGGCUAAACCAUGCACCGAAGCUGCGGCAGCGACGCUGAUGCGUUGUUGGGUAGGGGAGCGUUCUGUAAGCCUGCGAAGGUGUGCUGUGAGGCAUGCUGGAGGUAUCAGAAGUGCGAAUGCUGACAUAAGUAACGAUAAAGCGGGUGAAAAGCCCGCUCGCCGGAAGACCAAGGGUUCCUGUCCAACGUUAAUCGGGGCAGGGUGAGUCGACCCCUAAGGCGAGGCCGAAAGGCGUAGUCGAUGGGAAACAGGUUAAUAUUCCUGUACUUGGUGUUACUGCGAAGGGGGGACGGAGAAGGCUAUGUUGGCCGGGCGACGGUUGUCCCGGUUUAAGCGUGUAGGCUGGUUUUCCAGGCAAAUCCGGAAAAUCAAGGCUGAGGCGUGAUGACGAGGCACUACGGUGCUGAAGCAACAAAUGCCCUGCUUCCAGGAAAAGCCUCUAAGCAUCAGGUAACAUCAAAUCGUACCCCAAACCGACACAGGUGGUCAGGUAGAGAAUACCAAGGCGCUUGAGAGAACUCGGGUGAAGGAACUAGGCAAAAUGGUGCCGUAACUUCGGGAGAAGGCACGCUGAUAUGUAGGUGAAGUCCCUCGCGGAUGGAGCUGAAAUCAGUCGAAGAUACCAGCUGGCUGCAACUGUUUAUUAAAAACACAGCACUGUGCAAACACGAAAGUGGACGUAUACGGUGUGACGCCUGCCCGGUGCCGGAAGGUUAAUUGAUGGGGUUAGCGCAAGCGAAGCUCUUGAUCGAAGCCCCGGUAAACGGCGGCCGUAACUAUAACGGUCCUAAGGUAGCGAAAUUCCUUGUCGGGUAAGUUCCGACCUGCACGAAUGGCGUAAUGAUGGCCAGGCUGUCUCCACCCGAGACUCAGUGAAAUUGAACUCGCUGUGAAGAUGCAGUGUACCCGCGGCAAGACGGAAAGACCCCGUGAACCUUUACUAUAGCUUGACACUGAACAUUGAGCCUUGAUGUGUAGGAUAGGUGGGAGGCUUUGAAGUGUGGACGCCAGUCUGCAUGGAGCCGACCUUGAAAUACCACCCUUUAAUGUUUGAUGUUCUAACGUUGACCCGUAAUCCGGGUUGCGGACAGUGUCUGGUGGGUAGUUUGACUGGGGCGGUCUCCUCCUAAAGAGUAACGGAGGAGCACGAAGGUUGGCUAAUCCUGGUCGGACAUCAGGAGGUUAGUGCAAUGGCAUAAGCCAGCUUGACUGCGAGCGUGACGGCGCGAGCAGGUGCGAAAGCAGGUCAUAGUGAUCCGGUGGUUCUGAAUGGAAGGGCCAUCGCUCAACGGAUAAAAGGUACUCCGGGGAUAACAGGCUGAUACCGCCCAAGAGUUCAUAUCGACGGCGGUGUUUGGCACCUCGAUGUCGGCUCAUCACAUCCUGGGGCUGAAGUAGGUCCCAAGGGUAUGGCUGUUCGCCAUUUAAAGUGGUACGCGAGCUGGGUUUAGAACGUCGUGAGACAGUUCGGUCCCUAUCUGCCGUGGGCGCUGGAGAACUGAGGGGGGCUGCUCCUAGUACGAGAGGACCGGAGUGGACGCAUCACUGGUGUUCGGGUUGUCAUGCCAAUGGCACUGCCCGGUAGCUAAAUGCGGAAGAGAUAAGUGCUGAAAGCAUCUAAGCACGAAACUUGCCCCGAGAUGAGUUCUCCCUGACUCCUUGAGAGUCCUGAAGGAACGUUGAAGACGACGACGUUGAUAGGCCGGGUGUGUAAGCGCAGCGAUGCGUUGAGCUAACCGGUACUAAUGAACCGUGAGGCUUAACCU